AGCAUAAUUAGAGUGCAUUUGUUUCUAACCCGAAAUUUUGUCAUCGAUGACUAUCGUUUAGUAAACGUUAAGCUGCUAGAAACAAAUACAUCGUUUAAUAAACUUUAUCGACCCCACGUAGUCAGACAGAAAUAGAUUACACUCACGCACUGUAAACAAACAGGUAAAAGUGCGGGAAUAAAAUAACCAGGACUUUGCGAAACAACACGUGCUCGUAAUUAUUUAAACGACAGAUGCAGAAACAAAUUUAUCGUUUACACGUCUCAACGAUAAACGAUCAACGACUACGCGACUAUUUUGCGCGUACAUCGUUUAUGUGAACGAUGUCAACGUUGACCAAAAAAUGUAAGAAACAAAUGGAUUAAACGACUACGCGCGUAAUCGUUUACAUCGUUUAGGUUAGAAACAAAUGCGCUCUUAAAGU
This 424-nucleotide long non-coding RNA is filed under the name Mytilus galloprovincialis (Mediterranean mussel). The record is from RNAcentral. Lineage: Eukaryota; Metazoa; Mollusca; Bivalvia; Mytilida; Mytilidae.